Vicia villosa (hairy vetch) is the source of this 3586-nucleotide long non-coding RNA. RefSeq lists it as uncharacterized. The record is from RefSeq and is a predicted model, not a curated record. Lineage: Eukaryota; Viridiplantae; Streptophyta; Magnoliopsida; Fabales; Fabaceae. The transcript is spliced from 5 exons.
UCUUCUUUCUUUUGCUGACAAAACCUUUCCCUUUUCUCUCUUCUAUUUUCUCCCUUCUAUCUCUUUGUCCCUCAUUCUCUCUCUUGCAGAAACCCUAGAUCGUCGUCUCCCCUCUUCUUCCUCAUCACUUUCGUUUUCUCUUUCUUCCAUCUCUUUCACUCUCUUUCUCAUUCCUUUCACCAUACUUCUCUCUCCAAGUUUUUUUUCUUCUGAUUUUCUCUCUUUUUUUAUUAAACUCUAGCACCGCCAAUACACCACUCUCUUCUUAACAACAGUAACUUUACCAUAAAACCAUCACCACUCUCCUCUCAUCUCAAACCUAAACUUCAAUCUGCAACUCUUCCACGCGCCUCUCUCGCUUCACGGUUACCGGUGGAGUUGGGUAGCUUGGAAUCAAUGUUGCUGUUGUACAGCGCUGUUGCUUCUGCUCGAUGAGUUUCAAGCUUGGACAUUGAAUCUCUUGGUUGGGGUUUAGUUCCUCAAGGUACUUUGUUUUCUUUGAAUCUCUUGGUUGGGGUUUAGUUCCUCGAGGUACGUUUUUUUCUCUUUUAUCGGCUUUUGAUGUUGAAAUAGCAAUUUUUUUUGUGGACGACAACUACAGGCCGCAAUGAUGUGUUUAUCUUGUGAUUUUUUUCCCUUCUGCCAUCAGCCAUCGACAACAGUGUUGUAUGAAUAUGCCAUUGAUUUUAUGUUGGUGAGAGGCUGGAGCAUAAGGGACACAAAUCCAGCGUGAACAAUGAUAAUGCUUUCUCAAUGGGCCUUUGAUUCUGAAAAUUCACAUUGGAAGAGUCUUUUAGUUCUAAUUUGGGUAUUUGUUCUGUUAUUAGUUAGUUUUUUUCUUGCUUUGAAUCUUUGUUUAAUUUGUUGUGUUUAAUUCGAUUUCAAGUUUACUGUUUUGUUGUUAACUUUAUGAAUUUUCUUUAUGGAUGAACAUUCAUAGUUGUCAAAAUCAAUUCUACUUCACUAGAAUCAAUUCUACGGAAUGAUGGCAGUUGGUUUUACAGCUUCACAAUAGCUAGCUGCUGUUAUUUCUUCAGCUGUUUACUCCCUGUGGAAUCUUUUUCCGGUUUUCUUAUCCCAAAAGCGGUGAGUAAUGUUAUACUUAAAUUUUUUUGAACCAACAGUCACUUUUCUAUCGGCUUCUAAAAACUAAUAAUAUGACAAUAAUUAUGAUGUCUCAGUAUUCCGGGGUGGUGGAUUUUGUUCUAUUAUAUCUGCCCUGUUCAAUGGACAUUAUAACAUCUCAGCUUGGUGAUGUGGAAAAAACAAUUGUAGGACCAGGAUUCCAAGGCACUGUGAGAGAGUAUAUAUCUGCAACUCUUGGAUAUGAUUAGAAAAUAAACAGAAUAUUGUUUGUGGGUCUUUCAAUGAUAGUCCUUAUUGCAUUUAAUAUCUUAUUCUUUGGUAGUUUUGAUACAUCGGUUAAAGUUUUAAAUUUCCAGAAAAGAUAAAAGAUAUACAUUACUAGGUUUCCACAUCAUAGUAGUAGUAGAAGAUUUAUGCAUUGGAUAAGAUUGUCAUUGUACUAGGUUUUCAUAUGUCUAAUGAGUCACAUGUCUAAUGAAAUUUGGAUCCUUCAUGGUUUUGGAGCUUCUGUGAUAUUAUUGCAAACAAUAUUUAUACUGAAUUGAUCUUUGUAGAUGUUAUCAUCCAAUGGUGAAUUGAUCUUUGUAGAUGUUAUCAUCCAAUAUUUAUGAUUUCAUAAUCACUUAAGUUGUAGUCUGCAUAGAAAAUAAUUUCUUAUUGUUACUUGUGUUCUUUUGAUAUGUGAAACAUUGUCUGGUAAGAACUAUCAGCAAGAUGAUGUGGAUAGUACGCUGAAGGCUCGACAGAAGGUGAUGAAGAUGAGUCUGAUUUGGAUUUGGCUUCGAAUAUACUUGAUAUUUCUAGAUCCAUUCUUGAAAAAUAAUCUGUCAAUACUAGGGAACAAGUGGAUAUAUUGCUCACAUUAGCGGGUGUUGUUUUGGAAAGAGGUUUGGAGCUUGACUUGAUCUUCCUCUGCUACAUUUGUUUGUAAGGCACCUUACUUCGUCGCACAAAUGAAGUAUAGAGUUUUUUAGAUUCUACAUCGCAUGCAUCCAAGUUAGAGAGGGAUGAACAAACAUUCCGUGGAAUCCGAGUCUAAUAACUCAAUCAUCGAUAAACAAGUACAAAUUAAAGCUCUCACAUGUCUCUCAAGUGAGUUGGAAAAGAAGGUGGGCAUGCUGAUAAUAGUAUUUAGGGUGAUAUCCUCUGAUGGAACCAAAAUCUUGGAAACAGCCAAUGCGCACCGUGCUUCGGUAACUUGCCUCGGCCUUUCAUCCGAUAGUAACCACCUGGUGUCAGGAUCCCGAGAUACAACAAUAUUACUCUGGAGAAUACAUAAAGCACUUGCAUCUCACUCAAGUUUAUAUGCAUAAAGCCCUUGGAAGCUGGUGGUGAAGUUGAAGACUCUUUGAGAUGGCAGAGGAUACGAUGUGCUUGAACUGGUAUGCUUGAACUUUUAAAAUUUAAAUAAUAUAUGCAGAUGAAACCAAGAACCUGGAUCAUAUCCUAAAAGCUUCAUUAGUCUUUCAAUUGAUGACUACAGACACUAUAAAAUUUGCUUGACUUUCAUUAAGACCUAUGCUUUCGGAUGGUGUUAGCAGCAAUGAUAGGUUGGAGAAUAAAAAUGGAUCACAUGUAUCCGAGGAUGGAAGCCUGCAGAAUUAUCAAAGGAAUAGAUGGAUAAAGUGCCCAGUUUCUGAAGGAGCUGCUAGACACACAAUCAUUUUCUGGUAAUUUUCUUUCAAAUAUAAUUGGACCAAAAAGCAAAAGUGAUAUGAACAACUGCUACAAUAGUGCAAAGCAGUGUUUUAGCUGUACUACAGUUUAGACAUAAUAAAACAAGUUUACUAUCAGUUUUACAAUUUUACAAAUUCACUAUCAGUUUAGCAGUGCCCUUUAUCGGUCAGUCGUUGUAGUAAACAAAACAAUGAGAAAUAAUAAAGACAGCAAUCACUGCACAGAUGCAAGAUUCAAGACAGCAAUCCAGGUCAUGAAAAAUAAUAUAGACCAUCUCUUUUAACUGAGCCAUUGUUAUUUACUAAAUUGGUUAAUUUUGUGGUUGUUUUAAGUUUUUGUCAGUAAUUUGUAUCUGAUUUUUUUGGUGCAUUUCCUUCUUGUGAAUCUCUCUAUAGGUGAAGGAGUUGGAAGAGCUAUCAGCAGUAUCAUUCUUACCCUUCUACUUCGUUGUCGAUAUCUCCGCUGCCAUCUCAAAGCCGUCCAUGGGAUUUAAGUUUCUGACAAGUUUCCUCUGUGACAUAGUUAUGUUCCAUUUUUUUACUAUUUAUUUUAAAACAAACAUGCCCAUUAUUUAUAACAGAUGCUUUUAUAUUUUUCUGUAAUUUAUCUUUAAUUAAAAUAACUCUUGGCAUCAAUAGUAUAGAAAAAUAUAGUAGAAUGAUGAAAUUUGAGUAUUUUUAAUUGUAAUAAAUAUAGACAUUUUUAAGAUGAUAAAAAAUUGCAUAAUUUAGCAUUAUAUAUGAAUUAAAUAUUUUAUCUCUUUAUUUUCUUUCAAAAUCUUUGUUAGUAAUUCAAUUUAAUACAGUUUAAUGAAAAAAAAACC